GGAUGAACGUUGGCGGCGUGCCUAAUACAUGCAAGUCGAACGAAGACUGUAGUAAUACUGUCUUAGUGGCGAACGGGUGAGUAACGCGUGGGUGACCUGCCCCGAAGUGUGGGAUAACAGUUCGAAAGGAUUGCUAAUACUGCAUAAUAUCCAAGAGAUUAGACGCUUUUGGAUUAAAGGAGUAAUUCGCUUCGGGAGGGGCCCGCGUCCCAUCAGCUAGUUGGUAAGGUAACGGCCUACCAAGGCGAAGACGGGUAGGGGGUGUGAGAGCACGGCCCCCCACAAUGGGACUGAGAGACGGCCCAUACUCCUACGGGAGGCAGCAGCAGGGAAUCUUGCGCAAUGGACGGAAGUCUGACGCAGCGACGCCGCGUGGGUGAAGACGGCCUUCGGGUUGUAAAGCCCUUUUCUGGAGGAAGAGGGAGGACGGUACUCCAGGAAUAAGUGUCGGCUAACUACGUGCCAGCAGCCGCGGUAAUACGUAGGACACGAGCGUUAUCCGGAUUUACUGGGCGUAAAGCGCCUGUAGGCGGUUCUUCAAGUCGUUUGUGAAAGCCCUGGGCUCAACCUGGGGAGGCCAAGCGAUACUGGAGGACUUGAGGGNNACAGAGGGGAGUNNNAUUUCCGAUGUAGCGGUAAAAUGCGCAGAUNNNNGGAGGAACACCAGUGGCGAAGGCGGCUCCCUGGGUCACACCAGACGCUGAGAGGCGAAAGCUAGGGGAGCGAACAGGAUUAGAGACCCUGGUAGUCCUAGCCCUAAACGCUGGAUGCUAGGUGUGGGAUCGAGAGGUUCCGUGCCACAGCUAACGCGAUAAGCAUCCCGCCUGGGGACUACGGCCGCAAGGCUAAAACUCAAACGAAUUGACGGGACCCCGCACAAGCAGCGGAGCGUGUGGUUUAAUUCGAUGCUACACGAAGAACCUUACCUGGGAUGGACAUGGAGGUGGUAGGGAGCCGAAAGGCGACCGACUCUUCGGAGAGCCUUCACAGGUGCUGCAUGGCUGUCGUCAGCUCGUGCCGUGAGGUGUCGGGUUAAGUCCCGUAACGAGCGCAACCCCUGCCCUUAGUUACAAGUGUCUAAGGGGACUGCCGGCGACAAGCCGGAGGAAGGUGGGGAUGACGUCAAGUCAGCAUGGCCUUUAUAUCCAGGGCUACACACACGCUACAAUGGGCGGUACAACGGGCAGCGAAGCCGUGAGGCGGAGCGAAUCCUGAAAAGCCGUUCCCAGUUCGGAUUGCAGGCUGCAACCCGCCUGCAUGAAGUUGGAGUUGCUAGUAACCGCGCGUCAGCCAUAGUGCGGUGAAUACGUUCCCGGGGUU
Molecule: ribosomal RNA, 1320 nt
Filed under: uncultured bacterium
Lineage: Bacteria
Description: bacterial SSU rRNA
Rfam family: Bacterial small subunit ribosomal RNA
Source: RNAcentral